UCACGGAUCCAGACUUUGAUUCUGGCUCAGGACGAACGCUGGCGGCGUGCCUAAUACAUGCAAGUCGAACGAGCUCUCCCAAAUUGAUUUUAUGCUUGCAUAAAUGAUUUUUGGAUUCGGAGCGAGUGGCGAACUGGUGAGUAACACGUGGGUAACCUGCCCCGAAGCGGGGGAUAACAUUUGGAAACAAAUGCUAAUACCGCAUAAUUAGUUGGAACCGCAUGGUUCCAACUUGAAAGAUGGCUCUGCUAUCACUUUGGGAUGGACCCGCGCCGUAUUAGUUAGUUGGUGAGAUAAAAGCCCACCAAGACGAUGAUACGUAGCCGACCUGAGAGGGUAAUCGGCCACAUUGGGACUGAGACACGGCCCAGACUCCUACGGGAGGCAGCAGUAGGGAAUCUUCCACAAUGGACGAAAGUCUGAUGGAGCAACGCCGCGUGAGUGAUGAAGGUUUUCGGAUCGUAAAACUCUGUUGUUAAAGAAGAACAAGUGUUAGAGUAACUGUUAACACUUUGACGGUAUUUAACCAGAAAGCCACGGCUAACUACGUGCCAGCAGCCGCGGUAAUACGUAGGUGGCAAGCGUUGUCCGGAUUUAUUGGGCGUAAAGCGAGCGCAGGCGGUUUUGUAAGUCUGCUGUGAAAGCCCUCAGCUCAACUGAGGAAGUGCAGUGGAAACUACAAAACUUGAGUACAGAAGAGGAAAGUGGAACUCCAUGUGUAGCGGUGAAAUGCGUAGAUAUAUGGAAGAACACCAGUGGCGAAGGCGGCUUUCUGGUCUGUUACUGACGCUGAGGCUCGAAAGCAUGGGUAGCGAACAGGAUUAGAUACCCUGGUAGUCCAUGCCGUAAACGAUGAAUACUAGGUGUUGGAGGGUUUCCGCCCUUCAGUGCCGCAGCUAACGCAUUAAGUAUUCCGCCUGGGGAGUACGACCGCAAGGUUGAAACUCAAAGGAAUUGACGGGGGCCCGCACAAGUGGUGGAGCAUGUGGUUUAAUUCGAUGCUACGCGAAGAACCUUACCAGCUCUUGACAUCUUCUGCCAACCCAAGAGAUUGGGCGUUCCCUUCGGGGACAGAAUGACAGGUGGUGCAUGGUUGUCGUCAGCUCGUGUCGUGAGAUGUUGGGGUUAAGUCCCGCAACGAGCGCAACCCUUAUUAUUAGUUGCCAGCAUUUAGUUGGGCACUCUAGUGAGACUGCCGGUGAUAAACCGGAGGAAG
Molecule: ribosomal RNA, 1216 nt
Filed under: Apilactobacillus kunkeei
Lineage: Bacteria; Bacillati; Bacillota; Bacilli; Lactobacillales; Lactobacillaceae
Description: bacterial SSU rRNA
Rfam family: Bacterial small subunit ribosomal RNA
Source: RNAcentral